GCGGAUGGCUGGAUGGCCGCGUGCAGCGAAAGCUGUGCGAGGAAAGUCCGGACUCCAUGAAGAUAGGGUGCCGGGUAACGCCCGGCCGGGGUAACCCGAGGGAAAGCGCCACAGAGAUGAGACUGCCUUUGGGUGUCAGGUCCGCCUGAAAAUCCUGAGGUAACGGUGAAAAGGUGGGGUAAGAGCCCACCGGGGGGCUGGCAACAGGCCCCGCACGGCAAGCCCCACCCGGAGCAAUGCCAAAUAGGGACCUCGCGGCGCUCGCGCCACGGUUUCUUCAGCCCAGAGGUCCGGGUCGGCAGCUUGAUCCUGCGAGCAAUCGUAGGGCCAGAUGAAUGGUCAUCCACAGGGGCUUUGGCCUCUUGGACAGAAUCCGGCUUACAGGCCAUCCGCGCAU
Molecule: RNase P RNA, 397 nt
Filed under: Alphaproteobacteria bacterium
Lineage: Bacteria; Pseudomonadati; Pseudomonadota; Alphaproteobacteria
Description: RNase P RNA component class A
Rfam family: Bacterial RNase P class A
About the family: Ribonuclease P (RNase P) is a ubiquitous endoribonuclease, found in archaea, bacteria and eukarya as well as chloroplasts and mitochondria. Its best characterised activity is the generation of mature 5'-ends of tRNAs by cleaving the 5'-leader elements of precursor-tRNAs. Cellular RNase Ps are ribonucleoproteins.
Source: RNAcentral